UGACAAUGGUUUAUGAACGGU
This 21-nucleotide non-coding RNA is filed under the name Caenorhabditis elegans. The record is from RNAcentral. Lineage: Eukaryota; Metazoa; Nematoda; Chromadorea; Rhabditida; Rhabditidae.